GUGGGGAAUUUUGGACAAUGGGGGCAACCCUGAUCCAGCAAUGCCGCGUGCAGGAAGAAGGCCUUCGGGUUGUAAACUGCUUUUGUACGGAACGAAACGGUCCUGGUUAAUACCUGGGGCUAAUGACGGUACCGUAAGAAUAAGCACCGGCUAACUACGUGCCAGCAGCCGCGGUAAUACGUAGGGUGCAAGCGUUAAUCGGAAUUACUGGGCGUAAAGCGUGCGCAGGCGGUUUUGUAAGACAGACGUGAAAUCCCCGGGCUCAACCUGGGAAUGGCGUUUGUGACUGCAAAGCUGGAGUGCGGCAGAGGGGGAUGGAAUUCCGCGUGUAGCAGUGAAAUGCGUAGAUAUGCGGAGGAACACCGAUGGCGAAGGCAAUCCCCUGGGCCUGCACUGACGCUCAUGCACGAAAGCGUGGGGAGCAAACAGGAUUAGAUACCCGGGUAGUCC
RNAcentral lists this ribosomal RNA (450 nucleotides) under uncultured bacterium. Its description in RNAcentral is "partial 16S ribosomal RNA". It matches the Rfam family "Bacterial small subunit ribosomal RNA", at positions 354 to 796 of the family's 1533-position model. The record is from RNAcentral.